GUGGGGAAUAUUGCGCAAUGGGGGAAACCCUGACGCAGCGACGCCGCGUGAGCGAAGAAGGCCUUAGGGUUGUAAAGCUCUGUUUUAAGGGACGAAUGUCGUGGGGAGUAAUAUGCUCUGCGAAUGACGGUACCUUAAGAGGAAGCCCCGGCUAACUACGUGCCAGCAGCCGCGGUAAGACGUAGGGGGCGAGCGUUGUCCGGAAUUACUGGGCGUAAAGAGCACGUAGGCGGGAACUUAAGUCAGGUGUGAAAGACCGGGGCUCAACUCCGGGGUUGCACUUGAAACUGGGUUUCUUGAGGGCAGGAGAGGAAAGCAGAAUUCCUGGUGUAGCGGUGAAAUGCGUAGAAAUCAGGAGGAAUACCAGUGGCGAAGGCGGCUUGCUGGCCAGCAACUGACGCUGAGGCGCGAAAGCCAGGGGAGCAAACGGGAUUAGAAACCCGGGUAGUCC
This 451-nucleotide ribosomal RNA is filed under the name uncultured bacterium. RNAcentral describes it as "partial 16S ribosomal RNA". It matches the Rfam family "Bacterial small subunit ribosomal RNA", at positions 354 to 796 of the family's 1533-position model. The record is from RNAcentral.